This 73-nucleotide transfer RNA is filed under the name Hydrogenophilus thermoluteolus. It matches the Rfam family "tRNA". Rfam says of the family: Transfer RNA (tRNA) molecules are approximately 80 nucleotides in length. Their secondary structure includes four short double-helical elements and three loops (D, anti-codon, and T loops). Further hydrogen bonds mediate the characteristic L-shaped molecular structure. tRNAs have two regions of fundamental functional importance: the anti-codon, which is responsible for specific mRNA codon recognition, and the 3' end, to which the tRNAs corresponding amino acid is attached (by aminoacyl-tRNA synthetases). tRNAs cope with the degeneracy of the genetic code in two manners: having more than one tRNA (with a specific anti-codon) for a particular amino acid; and 'wobble' base-pairing, i.e. permitting non-standard base-pairing at the 3rd anti-codon position. The record is from Rfam by way of RNAcentral. Lineage: Bacteria; Pseudomonadati; Pseudomonadota; Hydrogenophilia; Hydrogenophilales; Hydrogenophilaceae.
GGGCCGGUAGCUCAGUUGGUAGAGCGUCGCGUUCGCAAUGCGAAGGUCGUGGGUUCGACUCCCAUCCGGUCCA